This 512-nucleotide small RNA is filed under the name Pan troglodytes (chimpanzee). RNAcentral's name for it is "processed transcript". The record is from RNAcentral. Lineage: Eukaryota; Metazoa; Chordata; Mammalia; Primates; Hominidae.
AAAUCCUAGCUCCACUUUAACUAGUAAUGUGGCCUAGAGUUAGUUAUUUUGUGUCUGAGUUUGUUUCCUUUUCUGUAAGAAGUAGAGAUGGAGAGCAGACUAAUGGCAAUUCCAAUGGUCUUGUACCGAUGCUGAGAGUAUAUAACAACACAGCUCGAUAUGUGGAUCAAGGUGGGAACAAGCGUCCUGGGGCAUUUGCUAUUUACCUGGAGCCUUGGCAUUUAGACAUCUUUGAAUUCCUUGAUUUAAAGAAGAACACAGGAAAGGAAGAGCAGCGUGCCAGAGAUCUUUUCUUUGCUCUUUGGAUUCCGGAUCUCUUCAUGAAACGAGUGGAGACUAAUCAGGACUGGUCUUUGAUGUGUCCAAAUGAGUGUCCUGGUCUGGAUGAGGUUUGGGGAGAGGAAUUUGAGAAACUAUAUGCAAGUUAUGAGAAACAAGGUCGUGUCCGCAAAGUUGUAAAAGCUCAGCAGCUUUGGUAUGCCAUCAUUGAGUCUCAGACGGAAACAGGCACC